Long non-coding RNA from Sinocyclocheilus grahami, 89 nucleotides. RefSeq lists it as uncharacterized. Lineage: Eukaryota; Metazoa; Chordata; Actinopteri; Cypriniformes; Cyprinidae. The record is from RefSeq and is a predicted model, not a curated record. The transcript has 3 exons.
GUAGUGUCAUCGACAUAUUCAACCGCAUAUCCUGUCAAUUCCCCUAAAAAUCAUUCUACCCUAUAUAAAUAAGCAAAAUGGAUUGAAAU